CAAGAAGCGAUCAGAUGCUGAACA
This 24-nucleotide non-coding RNA is filed under the name Arabidopsis thaliana (thale cress). Lineage: Eukaryota; Viridiplantae; Streptophyta; Magnoliopsida; Brassicales; Brassicaceae. The record is from RNAcentral.